AUUGAACGCUGGCGGCAGGCCUAACACAUGCAAGUCGAACGAGUGGCGGACGGGUGAGUAAUUUCUGGGAAACUGCCUGAUGGAGGGGGAUAACUACUGGAAACGGUAGCUAAUACCGCAUACGAUCAUUUGUGCCCAGAUGGGAUUAGCUAGUUGGUGGGGUAACGGCUCACCAAGGCGAAGAUCCCUAGCUGGUCUGAGAGGAUGACCAGCCACACUGGGACUGAGACACGGGCCAGACUCCUACGGGAGGCAGCAGUGGGGAAUAUUGCACAAUGGGCGAAAGCCUGAUGGAGCCAUGCCGCGUGUAUGAAGAAGGCCUUCGGGUUGUAAAGUACUGUCAGCAGGGAAGCGGUAUCCGCAGAAGAAGCACCGGCUAACUCCGUGCCAGCAGCCGCGGUAAUAC
RNAcentral lists this ribosomal RNA (406 nucleotides) under uncultured bacterium. RNAcentral describes it as "partial 16S ribosomal RNA". It matches the Rfam family "Bacterial small subunit ribosomal RNA", at positions 30 to 526 of the family's 1533-position model. The record is from RNAcentral.